This 245-nucleotide long non-coding RNA is filed under the name Capsicum annuum. RNAcentral describes it as "long non-coding RNA (CANN_LNC021608)". The record is from RNAcentral. Lineage: Eukaryota; Viridiplantae; Streptophyta; Magnoliopsida; Solanales; Solanaceae.
CAUCACAGGGAUAGGCAUACACCAUUCUUUCACUCACAAUUACACUCCGUUCUUCCACUCAACAAAAAAAGGAAAACACCAUCAUUAUCUUCCAUAUUUGCUCACAAUUCACACAGAUAUACACCAUUCACCAUACAAUAAUUUGAUAUGCACACAAAAUCCAUCCUCUCAUCUACAUAUUCUCUCACUGAACACAUCAUACACCUCACCGGAAACUUAUACACCCACACUGCCAGAAAGUGAGA